This is a long non-coding RNA of Andrographis paniculata, 1079 nucleotides long. RefSeq lists it as uncharacterized. The record is from RefSeq and is a predicted model, not a curated record. The transcript has 2 exons. Lineage: Eukaryota; Viridiplantae; Streptophyta; Magnoliopsida; Lamiales; Acanthaceae.
AUUUAUGCUUCUAUUGGUUUAGAAAAUCGAAUCCACACUGAGAACGAGCUAUUUGGGAAUCAUAAUGCCGGCGGCGGGAGCGGGAGCGGGAACUGGCGACUUUUCACCUUUCAUUGUCAGGAAAUUCAUAUAGAAAAUUACCUCGUUGGUAGUUUCCCAGCACUAGCUCGACGAUAUUUCAUCGUUAUUUCCCUCUAAUUGCUGAAAUAGUUUAACAGUAGUUAGUUUUAAAUUUUGUUGUUGAUGUUGUGAAUUAGGUUUCGGAAUUGAAGUCUGUAAGUUGAUAAAAGGUUUGGGGAUGUAGAGAGAAAGGAAUGUUUAGAAUUACAAAACAAAAUAUAGAGCAAAAGCUGAUAAAAUGUUGGGAAGAAAACCUCUGUAAAUGAAGGGUAGCCUUGAGGUUGAGGAUUAAGUUAGGAUAGUGAAGCAGAGUAAUCAUGAUAUCGAAACCUUUUUCGCUGGUUAGGCUAUGCAUUAAUCGAUCGAAAGCAAGGAUGUAGAAUGUGAAAAGAACAAAGGUGCUUGGACUUCCAAAUUGUGAAAGCGAACCAACUGUAUGUAGAUCAGAUCAAAAUGGCUUUCAAGAUACAGAAUAUAGUAUGCCUUUUGAUGCCAUCAUAUUCAUAUCCAAUCUCCUAAGGAGAGCAAAAACAAAUCAAUGUAGAAAAUACACUCGUCGAAUCCAAUAACUAUAGAAUUGCAAGCUUCUUUUCUCUGUAUAGCCAACAGAAUAAUCAAGAGGUUCAAUUCACUCAACCAAAUAUACACACUCUUAUUCAUGUAAGGUUUUCAUUUUGGUUACUUUAGUUAUCUAAGAGCUGCAGGAAUUUGAUGAAAAGGGCAUUAAUAAGUGUUGGGAAUUGGUAACAGCAGCAUAUUGCCAAGUUAGAAAUGUAACAUUUGAGUAGCUACUGUAUAUUUAUAAAUGUUGAAGAACAGUAUAUAUUAUUAAACACAUUGAUUAUUAUUACUAUUAUUAUUAUGCAUCUAUGGAGAACAGUAUAAUUGACGAGUACAAAUCUGAGAUUUGGAGACAAUCCAACUAAACUCAAAAGUUUGGCUACACAAAUAAAAUUGAA